Molecule: ribosomal RNA, 440 nt
Filed under: uncultured bacterium
Lineage: Bacteria
Description: partial 16S ribosomal RNA
Rfam family: Bacterial small subunit ribosomal RNA
Source: RNAcentral
CCUACGGUGGGCAGCAGUGGGGAAUAUUGCACAAUGGGGGAAACCCUGAUGCAGCGACGCCGCGUGAGUGAAGAAGUAUUUCGGUAUGUAAAGCUCUAUCAGCAGGGAAGAAAAUGACGGUACCUGAUUAAGAAGCCCCGGCUAACUACGUGCCAGCAGCCGCGGUAAUACGUAGGUGGCAAGCGUUAUCCGGAUUUACUGGGUGUAAAGGGCGUGUAGGCGGGAAAGGAAGUCAGAUGUGAAAACCAUGGGCUCAACCUGUGGCCUGCAUUUGAAACUGUUUGUCUUGAGUACUGGAGAGGCAGACGGAAUGCGUGGUGUAGCGGUGAAAUGCGUAGAUAUUAGGAGGAACACCAGUGGCGAAGGCGGUCUGCUGGACAGCAACUGACGCUGAGGCGCGAAAGCGUGGGUAGCGAACAGGAUUAGAUACCCGUGUAGUC